This is a long non-coding RNA of Tyto alba (common barn owl), 1509 nucleotides long. RefSeq lists it as uncharacterized. Lineage: Eukaryota; Metazoa; Chordata; Aves; Strigiformes; Tytonidae. The transcript is spliced from 2 exons. The record is from RefSeq and is a predicted model, not a curated record.
UUCAUACCAGAGUAGAUAUUGCCUGCUGCUUGUGGAAGGGACCAUGCCAGAGAGAUAUUUAGACAGCAGACCAUGGGAGAACCACUCCAGGGCAAAUGGAUAUUCCUGAAGAAAAUGCAGCCCAGGAAGGACCCACAUUGAAGGACUGCACCCUAUGGGGAUCCCAUGCUGAAGCACAGGAAAGGAUUGUAAUGCCUAGGAGUCCUGCUGGAGCCUGAAACCACGUUGUGCUGGAUGAUGCUUGGACACAUAUCAUAAGCAAUUUGAGACAUAGCAAUAUAAAUGGACAAGACAGAGAGUGGGAGGAGAAACAGAGGCACAGAGAUAAGAUGAUGCUGUAGAUCAUUUAGAGUAUCAUCCAUGAGUUGAAGCCAUGCAGGUCUCUAUUGUUCUGCCCACCCAGCUGGGUGAAUGGAGAAUAUCCCAGCUUUGAAAAAAUGCUGUUUCUCCUAAUUCUUUUCCCACAAUUCUGACAUUUAAAUCUUUUUUCCUAGUUGUGACUGGAAAAGUUGAACAUUUUUUAUAUCCAUUCUAAAUCAAAAUAUCAUUUUCAUUGUCACGUUUCUGGGGUUUUUUGACAUUAUCCAUAAUAAUAUCUACCUUACACUGGAAGCAAAAAUGUAGAAUACCAUGAAUUUGCAAAGAUCACAGAAGACUUUAGAGCUUUUGUAGAAAGCUGGAGAAAAAUCCUCAACAGGGGUUCCAAGCAAGAAGAGUCAGAAAAGACCAAAAACUCUCUAAUUUUGUAUUAUGUUAUAAAGCCAGACCAUCGCAGUUUAGGAUAUCCAAGCUGCCUUUCAGAGAGGAUGGAUAAUUUCCAGAAAGGUAAAUGGGCAGGACGAGGACUCAUAACUUCAGAUGAUGACCAGAUAUAUGGACUGAGAAGAUAUUGGACUACCAGCACAAAAGACAAUGCCAAGAAGUUAACCAAUACCCAGCUUCUAUUAAAAGUGCCUAAGACCUGACCUAACACUUGGUGACAAUGUAAGAAAAAACAAACUAUCAAACAAGCUUUGAGAUGCUCACAUACAGGACUCAAAACAGUUAUGGCACGUGGAAGUGCAAAACAGAGGCAUGAAAGUCACAGAGGUACUGAGAAACCUCAGGGAAACCUCCUGCUGGAAAUCAGUGUGGAUGGGUGGAACGAAGUGGUGUUUUGUGUUAGCAAGAAGCAGAGCGUAGAGAGAUGAAAUGUUAUGGCAGGGGCAAAAGAGUGUUUUGGUGCAAACCACUGUCAGGAGCGGUGGCUGGAGAAAGAAAGUCCCACUAGCCUCCUCUGUGCCUCCAGCUCCAGCCUAAUCACCAUUAGUGUCCAUACAGUUAUCAAAUGUGUAAACAUUAAUGGGAAAUAUGUGAGUCUUUAAUGUCUCAAAAAUGAAUUGAAAGAUAAUUACUGAUUAUGUUGGCUCAGAUAUUUUAGGUGAUGGAUUUGUCCACAAAAGUAAAUACAAGACUGUUUCAGACCGAACUCUUGUAUGGGUUAAAAGUAGUAAAAUUUGUAUAAAGUGC